AACUUUUAGCAAUGGAUCUCUUGGCUCUCGCAUCGAUGAAGAACGCAGCGAAAUGCGAUACGUAAUGUGAAUUGCAGAAUUCUGUGAAUCAUCGAAUCUUUGAACGCACCUUGCGCCCCUUGGUAUUCCGAGGGGCACACCCGUUUGAGUGUCGUGAAAAUCUCAACCUUCUCGGUUUCUUCUGGACACCGAAGGAGGCUUGGACUUUGGAGGCCUUUGCUGGCGUCUCUCGCCAGCUCCUCUCAAAUGAAUUAGUGGGGUCCUCUUUGCCGACCCUCGACGUGUGAUAAGAUGUUUCCAUGUCUUGGUUUAUGGCUCUGUUGCUUUUGGGACCCGCUUCUAACCGUCUCAACGAGACAACGUUCGAGCGUGUCGAACACUCUUGAACCCACGAACCCUUGACCUCAAAUCGGGUGAGACUACCCGCUGAACUUAAGCAUAUCAAUAAGCGGAGGCU
This 457-nucleotide unclassified non-coding RNA is filed under the name uncultured Lactarius. RNAcentral describes it as "sequence contains ITS2". The stretch from base 1 to 154 matches the Rfam family "5.8S ribosomal RNA". The record is from RNAcentral. Lineage: Eukaryota; Fungi; Basidiomycota; Agaricomycetes; Russulales; Russulaceae.